RNAcentral lists this non-coding RNA (45 nucleotides) under Schistosoma margrebowiei. Lineage: Eukaryota; Metazoa; Platyhelminthes; Trematoda; Strigeidida; Schistosomatidae. The record is from RNAcentral.
GUUCGGCUGAUGAGUCCCAGAUAGGACGAAACUCGCGUCAUGGAU